GGUCAUGGCUCAGUGGUAGAGUGCUUGCCUAGCAUGUGUGAGGUACUGGGUUCGAUUCUCAGCACCA
RNAcentral lists this transfer RNA (67 nucleotides) under Marmota monax (woodchuck). Its description in RNAcentral is "tRNA.Ala". Lineage: Eukaryota; Metazoa; Chordata; Mammalia; Rodentia; Sciuridae. The record is from RNAcentral.